Loxodonta africana (African savanna elephant) is the source of this 8021-nucleotide long non-coding RNA. RefSeq lists it as uncharacterized. The record is from RefSeq and is a predicted model, not a curated record. The transcript has 5 exons. NCBI's taxonomy places the organism in Eukaryota, Metazoa, Chordata, Mammalia, Proboscidea, Elephantidae.
GGCUCUCAGGUCUGGCCGUCGCAUUGAGGCCCCACCACCGCCGGGGGGCGCCACGCGCCGGAGAAACCGGCCCGUUUCGCAAAACGCUACGCACGCACGCCACGUACGGGGGGCGGGUCCGAAGCCUAAACUCGAGGUCCCGCCCCGCUGUAGGAUGGGAAGGAGCCCACUGGUCCCCGCCCAAUAGGCCAUUUCGCCUGGAACAAGGGGGAAAAGUUCGUUCUGUGCUGGGCUACAUGUGACUGUAUGUAACGUCACUGGGACAGGUUCCAUUUCCUGGACCCUUGGAGAUCUCCAUGUGGCUUUGUUACCUGAAUAAGGUUCUUGACUCUCACUGGUCAAGAAUAAGCAGCUGCACUCUGAAGAAAUCUAAAAAGAAGAAAGCAGCCAGAAGAGGGAAGCAAAGAACAGCCCGGAUUUGCGUUAAGAUGCAAAUCUGAUGACUACUGACACGUCAUCUCAGUUAAUGCUCACGACCACUCUGAAGUUCAGAGAGUCUAAGGACUGACUCAAAGUCACACAGGUCAUUUGCCUAAAAUCACACAGCUAGUUCGUCACAAAGCUAAGACUAACCCCCGGGACUGGUAAUUCUCAUUCCAGUGCAUUUUCUGCUAUACCUUGUUGCCGCUGCACUUCAAAAAAAUCAGAAUCCCUGUGCAUUAAAUAAACUUGCGUGAAAUUUGUGAACUUUCCAAAUUGAAAGUCAGUUUCCCAUGCCAGAGGAAAAACAAUUUCUUCCUUUUUAUUUAAGAGCAUUAAAUUUGGCUUUUGGAUGCUUUUCAUGUGAUACUAAUCAGUUUUAAUAAAAGUAUAAACAGAAACACGAGCUACUACUAAACUUAUAAUUACCAAAAUAUCAGCAAGAGAGAUCACAUAUUUUUAAAUCUUCAUCACUUAUAUAACUUUUUUUUUUAACUCGUAACAUAGUUUAUAAUUAUUAUGUAAGACAACAGUCUGGUCAGGCAAAUACAGGCUACUGUACACAGUUCUUUUAAUCAUUCUAAAAUGUCAACCUAUUUUUUCUUAUUAUUAAAUUUCUUUCAUUUUGGGGGCCUAUUGCUUGAUAUCCUUUAGGAAUGACCUUUUUUCUCUUAGAAUCUAAGCAGAGUUAAGUUCACUGUUCCCCAAACUCUAUUCACAUUUAUGAUUUCUUCCAUAUUCAUAUACCACCUAGCCAUUAUUUAAUAUUUUUAUUUAUAUUGUCUCACUUUUAUAUUCAAUACCUAGUUUACUCUCAUCCUAAAUAAUAUUCUUGAAAUUAUAGGUCUGAUAUGCUAAUUGUAUAAUUUUUACGUUAAAUACACAACUUUUAUUUUUUUUUUUAAAUGUCUAUUACCUAAAAUCACCCUGCUUUGGUAUAGUUAGUGGAAAGAGCACUGUCACGGAUUGAAUUGUGUCCCCCCCCAAAAUAUCUGUCAGCUUGGCUAGGUCAUGAUUCCCAGUAUCGUAUGAUUGUCUAACAUUCUGUCAUCUGAUGUGAUUUCCCUAUGUGUUGUAAAUCCUAUCACUAUGAUAUAAUGAGAUGAAUUAGUGGCAGUUAUAAGAUUAGGUAGUGUCUUAAGCCAAUCUGUUUUGAGAUAUAAAAGAGAGAAGCGAGCAGAAAGACAUGGGGACCUCAUACUACCAAGAAAGCAGUGCCAGGAGCACAGCGCGUCUUUUGGACCUGAGGUUCCUGUGCUGAGAUUCUCCCAGACCAAAGGAAGACUGAUGACAAGGACCUUUCUCCACAGCCGACAGAAAAAGCUUUCUCCUGGAGCUGAUGCCCUGAAUUUGGACUUGGAGCCUACUAGAGAGUGAGAGAAUAAAUUUCUCUUUGUUAAAGCUAUCCACUUAUGGUAUUUCUGUUACAGCAGCACUAGAUGACUGCAACAAGCAUCAAAUCCAGAAUAAGAAGACAGGACUUCAAAACCCAGCUGUGACAUCUUCCUCUGUGAAAAUCACUUUACCACUCUGAGCCUGUUUCCUAAUCUGUAAAAUGGAGAAUACCUGUCCUGCUUCCUUCCCUUUCUGGGUUAUUGUGGGGUUUAAACUGAAUGAUGAUGAAAAUAUUUUGUAACUAUGAAAAUCAUGGGGAAGAAAAGAGUAUCAUAUAGGACAAUAUAUAACAAUGCAUAGGGCAGUAACAGAGAAGUCAACUCAAUUUGUGCUUACUGUAUUUAAAUGCAGUUUACCCUUUAAUCUACAAGACUAUGUUUCCUUCAGAAAGUAAUAACUGGGGUAUAAUAUAGGGUUGCUAUUUAUCUCUCCAUCAAUAGGGAAUCCGAAGGGAAAAAAAAACUUGUCCACAGGAAUGCAACUGUUCUUUGUUCAUUUGCUUCCAGCCACUGCAACUCGGCAGGCACUGCAGGCCCAUCUGCAGAAGGUGACCAAGAGGAGAGCUUAGCACAGUGUGCAGCCCUGAUCAAUGCCUGUAAAUUGACAUGACUGAUAAUUACAGAGUUACUGUAAGCCUCAUUUUUAUCAUUCAGUAAAGCUAAAACAGUGAGUUCUUACAUUGGGCUUAAUCCAGGAUCACUCAGAAACCCAUCAGCUUCUUGGAACCAUCCACAUCCAAACUUUAAAGGGAUCUUCCCAGUCCCCACUCAGCCUUGUGAAGUAGUGUUAGGUACCUCUGAGAAAACAAGAAACACGUCUAGACCCAGCAUGGGCCACGCAAAAAAUAACCAAAAACCGGUUGUCACCAAGUCGAUUCUGACUCAUGUCAACCUCAUGUGUUUCAGAGUAGAACUGUACUCCAUAGGCUUUUCAGAAAACACAGGUCCACAGGGUUUUCAAUGUCUGUGGUCUUUCAGAAGUAGAUCACUCCAGGCCUUUCUUCCAGGGUACCUCUGAGUGGAUUCAAAUCACCAACCUGUUAGCAGCUGAGUGCUUAACUGUUGUGCCACCCAGGAACUUCGUGUUUCCUCUCAGUCAUCUUUUGCCAGAUACGGAACAUUAAGAUCAAACAGAUGUGUCAGCCACUGUGCUGUGUACGUUUGCAUAUAUUAAUACAUUUAAUAUCAUUAUUUUCAUUUGUUAGAACCCUAAUGUUAUUUGGUUCUAAGUUACGACUGUGCCUUCCAUCCUAAGAGUUUAAAUGUUCAGGUUAACCAAAUCAUAAGCAGAUUAUCCAGUUUUUAGGGUGAAAUACCAAUUAUCUCUGAUGUGUGGGCAUUUGAGUGUUUUAUAUAUGAUGUUUGAGUUUUAAAAAGUAGAAUGUAAUAUUUAGCAUUAAAAGCCUAUUUCAUAUGUUUACAUCUUUAUUUGAAUCAGAAAACUCUUGAGGCACUUACCUUAUCUUAGUUAUCAUUAUAAGUUCUAUUAUAAUUGUAAUGUACUGCAGCUAUGUUGUUGUUGUUACAUGGCAUCGAGUCAGUUUCAUCUCACAGCGACCCUGUGUACAACAGAACAAAACACUGUGCCAUCCUCACAAUCAUUAUGCUUGAGCCCAUUGUUGCAGCAACUGUAUCAGUCCAUCUCGUUGAGGGCCUUCCUCUUUUUUCACUGACCCUCUACUUUAAAAGCAUGGUGUCCUUCCCCAAGGACUGGUCCCUCCCGAUAACAUGUCCAAAGUAUGUGAGACAAAGUCUCACCAUCCUUGCUUCCAAUGAACAUCCUGGCUGUACUUCUUCCAAGACAGAUUUGUUUGUUCUUCUGGCAGUCCAUGGUAUAUUCAGUAUUCUUUGACAACACCGUAAUUCAAAGGCAUCAAUUCUUCUUCAUUCUUCCUUAUUCAUUGUUCAGCUUUCACAUGCAUAUGAGGUGAUUGAAAAUGCCAUGACCUCCCUCAGGUGAAAUUAGUCCUUAAAGUGACAUUUUUGCUUUUUAACACUUUGAAGAGGUCGUUGGCAGCAGAUUGGCACAAUGCAAUGCAUCAUUGGAUUUCUUGACUGCUGCUUCCAUAUGUGUUGACUGUGGAUCCAAGUAAAAUGAAAUCCUCGAGAACUUCAAACUUUUCUCUGUUUAUCCUGAUGUUGCUUAUUGGACCAGUACUUAGGACUUUAGUUUUCUUUAUGUCGAGGUGUAAUCCAUACUGAGGUGGUCUUUGAUCUUCAUCAGUAAGUUCUUCCAGCAAUCAAGGUUGUGUCAUCUGCAUAUCACAGGUUGUUAAUAAGCCUUCCUCCAAUUCUGAUGCCAUGUUCUUCAUGUAGACUAGCUUCUUGGUUUAUUUGCUCAGCAUACAGAUUGAAUAAGUAUGGUGAAAAGAUACAACCCUGACUCAUACCUUUUCUAAUUUUAAACCACACAGUAUCCCCUUGUUCCUUUUGAACAACGGCCUCUUGAUCUAAGUAUAGGCUUCCCAUGAGCACAAUUAAGUGUCCUGGAACUCCCAUUCUUCACAAUGUUAAGCAAAUUUAUUAUGAUCCACACAGUCAAAUGCCUUUGCAUAAUCAGUAAAAAACAUAGGUGAACAUCCUUCUGGUAUACUUUGCUUUCAGCCAUGAUCCAUCUAACGUCAGCAGUGACAUCCCUCAUUCCAUACCCUCUUCUAAAUCAGGCUUGAGUUUCUGGCAGUUCCUUGUCAAUGUACUGCUGCAACCGCUUUUGAAUGAUCUUCAGCAAAAUUUUUCUUGUUCGUGAUAUUAAUGAUAUUGUUUGAUAAUUUCCGCAUUCUGUUGGAUCACCUUUCAUUGGAAUGGGCACAACAAUGGAUCUCAUCCAGUCAGUUGGCCAGGUAGCUGUCUUCCAAAUUUCUUGGCAUAGACAAGUGAGCACUUUCAGCACUGCAUCUGUGUGUUGAAAUACCUCAGUUGGUAUUCCAUCAAUUCCUGGAGCCUUAUUUUUCACCAAGUGCCUUCAGUACAGCUUGAUUUGAACCUCUUCCUUCAGUACCAUCGGCUCUUGAUCAUAUGCUACCUCCUGAAAUGUUUGAACAUUGACCAAUUUUAUUUGGUACAAUGACUCUGUGUAUUCUUCCCAUCUUCUUUUAAUGCUUCCUGCAUUGUUUACUAUUUUCCCUAUAGAAUUAUCCAUUAUUGCAACCCAGGGCUUGAAUUUUUUCUUCAUUUCUUUCAGCUUGAGAAAUGCCAAGCCUGUUCUUCCCUUUUGGUUUUCUAACUCCAGGUCUUUGCACAUUUCAUUAUAAUAUUUUUUCUUCUUGGGCCACCCUUUGGAAUCUUCUGUUCAGCUUUCUUACUCCAUCAUUUCUUCCUUUUGCUUUAGCUAUUCUUUGUUCAAGAGCAACUUUCAGAGUCUCUUAUGACAUCCAUUUUGAUCUUUUCUUUCUUCCCUGUCUUUUUAGUGAUCUCUUGCUUUCUCCAUGUAUGAUGUCCCAUAUCAUUCCACAACUCAUCCGGUCUUUGGUCAUUAAUGUUCAAUGCAUCAAAUCUAUUCUUGAGUUGGUCCAUAAAUUCAGAUGGGAUAUACUCAGAGUUGUGCUUUGGCUCUCGUCAACUUGUUCUGAUUUUCUUCAACUUCAACCUGAACUUGCAAAUGAGUAACUGAGGGUCUGUUCCACAGUCAGCCCUUGGCCAAACUUCUCUAUCGUCUCUUUCCACAGAUGUAGUUGAUUUGAUUCCUGUGUAUUCCAUCUGGAGAGGUCCAUGUGUAUAGUUGCUGUUUAUAUUGAUGUUUAUGUAUUCCAUAUAAUUUUGAUGACUUCCAAUUUUCCUAGAUUCAUACUUCAUACAUUCCACAUUGUUAUUAUUAAUGGAUGUUUGCAGCUGUCUUUUCUCAUUUGAGUUAUGCCACAUCAGCAAAUGAAGGUCCUGAAAGCUUGACUCCAUCCACAUCAUUAAGAUCAACUCUACUUUGAGGUCACAGCUCUUCCGUAGUCGUAUUUUGAGUGCUUUCCCAUCUGAUGGGCUCAUCUUCUGGCAGUAUAUCAGAUAAUAUUCUGCCUCUGUCCCUAAGGUUUUCACUGGCCAGUUUUUUAAAAAUAGACUGCAAGGUGCUUCAUCUUAGUCUAUCUUAGUGUGGAAGGUCCACUGAAACCUGUCCACCAAGGGUGACCCUGCUGGUAUUUGAAAUACCAGUGGCAAAGCUUCCAGUAUCACAGCAACGUGCAAGCCACCGCAGUACGACAAACUGACAGACACGUGGUGGACUAAAGCUAUAGAAGCUAUAAAACUGAAAUUAACUCUGCUACAUUCCUGAUUAUCUCUUAUGAUAUUAAAUGCAGAAAAAAUAGUUAUUUGGGUUCUGUGAUUAUUUGGAUGGGGAUAAAUAAGAGUUUAUUGUAAUUGUAAAUUAUCCUAAUUAGUAAGAAAUUAGAAUAUAAAUCAUUUUAAGAAGUUGUCAGCUAUGCCUAGAUCUUGGUUUCUAAACACCACUCUCCAAUAAAAGGAAAUAGAGCUCUCUGGAGAAAUGGUCAGUUCAAAGACUGGGGCAGAAAAUACGCAGAUGAGCCUGGAGCGUCCUGCAGCACCAGAAAGUAAAGAAGUGCUCAAAAAAAAAAAAAAAAUACUCCACAAUGAUGGGACGUUUGUCAAAGGAGCCACAGGAGUCAAAGGUGUCCACAGGAGCCAACUGAAAGAGCUCCCGAUGACCAAAGCUAGAAUAAUUUGAGUCAGAACAUAAAGUAGUAUUGGAUUAUAAACCAAAAUUUAAAAUAAAUAUCUAUGAAUUCAUACUGAUAUAGAAAAAUUAUUUAAUAAAUAAAUGGAAGAGAGGAGACAUAUGUCCGCAUGCAGUAGAAUUCCAAAUAACUUAUGAAGAUACUCCACCCUCAAGGAGCAGGAGCAUAACUCCCCACUUAAAGUGUAAGUUAAAAUAAUAACUUCACGGUAGAAAAACCUGACAAACACUACACCAGGCAGAUGAUCAAGGUCAAUAUUAACCAAAAAAAAAAAAUUUAACAGUGAUGAUAAAUCAAGUUGACAGAAUGUAAUCUUGAUAUGUGAUGAAAAUGGUACUUUACGUAACCUCAUUCUAAUCAUGAGGAAAACAUCAGACAAAUUCCACUGGAGGGGCAUCCUACAAACUACUUGACUAAUAUUCCUUAAUACUGUUAAGGUCAUGAAAAACGGGGCAAGUCUGAGAAAUGUCACACCUAAGAGGAACCUAAGGAGACAUGAUGACUAAAUGUAAUGUGGUUCCUGGGAUAGAAAAAAAAAAAAACAGUAGUACGACAAGAAAUCUGGAAAAAAACAUGGACUUUAGUUAAUAAUAAUAUAUCAAUAUUGGCUCCUUAAUUGUAACAAAUGCAGCAUGCUACCAGUGUAAGAUAGGGGAAAAUGGAUGUGGUGUAUAUAGUAACUGUCUGUACUAUCUUCUCAAUUUUUCUGCGAAUCUAAAACUGUUCUAAAAAAUAAAGUAUGUUAAAAACAAUGUCAUCAGUAGCCAUAAGAGGCAAUGAGUUUAUGUAAGUGGGGGAGGAACAACUCAGAAAAGGAGGGUGAAAAUGGUUGCACAACUCAAAGACUGUAAUUAAUGUCACUGAAUUGUACAUGUAGAAACUGUUGAAUUGAUGUACAUUUUGCUGUGUAUAUUCUCAACAACAAAAAUAAAUUAUUUUUAAAAAGUGCUGUCAGUUAUUCAGAAUCAAAACAUAUCGUUCACACAUUGCACCAUACAUUCUGUAUAGUAGAAAUAGUUUUAGGAGACUGACAUUCAAAAAACUUAAGCUGUGGACAGGUUUAAUUCUACUUAACCAAAGUGAAAUAGGCAGCUGGCUUAGUUAAUGUAAUGUAUGGUAAGCACUGCCUAUUGUGUGGAUUUUUAAACUUAUAUUAGGAAAAAAAAUUUAAUACUGAAUACUUGGUUCUUUCAAUUUUUUUCAUUUAACUUAAUUACCAAGAGCAUACAGAAGCUAUAAUACUUUUUAAUGAAAUAUUUAAUAUGGAAGAAAGGUAAAUUUAGUUUUUUUUUGGUUCUGUUGGUUUUGUUGAUUACCACAUAAAUAGGUUACCCCAGAGUUGAUCUAUAAUGAAGUUUAAAGAUCUCUUUGAAGUUUUAUGAAACUGUAUUCUAAAAUUAGACUCUCCGAAUCUUAUAAUUUUCUAGCACCUUUUAUCGGUGCAUUCAAGCAGUUUACAAGGACCCUCUGGUACAUUUAUAAUAACAUUUCUUACAUGGGAGAAGCAGAUGAGUCAAAUGACAUA